This 253-nucleotide ribosomal RNA is filed under the name uncultured bacterium. RNAcentral's name for it is "partial 16S ribosomal RNA". It matches the Rfam family "Bacterial small subunit ribosomal RNA", at positions 524 to 776 of the family's 1533-position model. The record is from RNAcentral.
UACGGGGGGGGCAAGCGUUGUUCGGAAUUACUGGGCGUAAAGGGUUCGUAGGUGGCCAACUAAGUCAGACGUGAAAUCCCUCAGCUUAACUGGGGAACUGCGUCUGAUACUGGAUGGCUUGAGGUUGGGAGAGGGAUGCGGAAUUCCAGGUGUAGCGGUGAAAUGCGUAGAUAUCUGGAGGAACACCGGUGGCGAAGGCGGCAUCCUGGACCGACAUUGACGCUGAGGAGCGAAAGCUAGGGGAGCAAACGGG